CAAAGGAUAGUUUAAGUAAGAAUCCUGGCUUUGGGAGUCAGGGGUAAGAGUUGAAGUCUCUUUUCUUUGA
This 70-nucleotide transfer RNA is filed under the name Channa pulchra. Its description in RNAcentral is "tRNA-Pro". It matches the Rfam family "tRNA". From Rfam's summary of the family: Transfer RNA (tRNA) molecules are approximately 80 nucleotides in length. Their secondary structure includes four short double-helical elements and three loops (D, anti-codon, and T loops). The record is from RNAcentral. Lineage: Eukaryota; Metazoa; Chordata; Actinopteri; Anabantiformes; Channidae.